GGUUGUAACCUCACUGUCACGCUAAUGGACGCAAAAACGAAGAGUGGUAGUACUAUCAAUGGUUCAGUCAGCGCCUCAACAGCGACAACGAGUUCAUCUGCGGCAACUAUCGUUGUGAGCAGUCCGUCCGCGACGCGCUCCGCAGCGUCUUCGCCGGGCACAACGAGAUCCUCAACGUCUGGAAGGAUAAAGUGAAGAAAAAGAAGAAAAUAUUACUAGAAGAUUAGUUUUAGGAAUUUCUUUUAUUUCCUUGCAAUUUUCCUUUUAUUGGAUACUUGUAA
This is a non-coding RNA of Triticum urartu, 281 nucleotides long. NCBI's taxonomy places the organism in Eukaryota, Viridiplantae, Streptophyta, Magnoliopsida, Poales, Poaceae. The record is from RefSeq and is a predicted model, not a curated record.